AUGGCCGCCCGCUUGCCGAGAGCUGGUGGCAACGGCGUCCUGGCUGGCAGCCCUCGACGGGAGCUGGCAUGUGCCCCCUACCAUCCCACAAGACUUAAUGCCAAGGCCCACCUCAGCUGGGUCACCAAGGAGGAAGGCUCAGCCUGCCCUGUCCAGGAACCCACCUCCAGGCCUCACCACAACCGAGAGCAUGGCACGGCUGGCCCUGUAGACACCAUACUGCACCUGCCCACUGUGCCCACCCUGCCCAGCCCUGCCCUCCCUGCCCACCCUGCCGGCAUCCUGAGCGCACAACCACCAGCCACCUCACAGCCACGUCCAGCCCCCACCCUGGUGCCCGCUGGCCCUCAAUGGCCACACCCAGCAGGUCCAGACCCAGCCUCCGUCCAAGCCCCCAUCGUCUUCCCCUUGGCCACCUGCUGCAAGGGCACCGUGGCCAGUGCCGCGUCUACGACAGUGGGCUGCCUGGUCACUGGCUACUUCCCGAUGCCUGUGACUGUGAUCUGGGAUGCAGGGUCCCUGAACAAGAGCGUCGUGACCCUCCCCACCACCCUCCAGGAGACCUCUGGCCUCUACACCACCAGCAGCCACAUGACCGUCUCAGGCGAGUGGGCCAAACAGAAGUUCACCUGCAGCGUGACUCACGCUGAGUCCCCCUCCAUCAACAGGACCUUCAGCGCAUGUGCCAUGAACUUCAUCCCACCCACUGUGAAGUUCUUCCACUCCUCAGUAACACCGGCACCACCAUCCAGCUCCUGUGCCUCAUCUCCGGCUACUUCCCUGGUGACAUGGAGGUCACCUGGCUGGUAGAUGGGCAGAAGGCCACAGACGUAUUCCCAUACACUGCCCCCAGCAAGCAGGAGGGCAAGGUGAUCUCUACCCAUAGCGAGCUCAACAUCACACAGGACGAGUGGGUGGCCCAGAAGACCGACACCUGCCAGGUCACCUACCAAGGCUUCACCUUUGAGGACAACACUCACAAGUGCACAGAGUCCGACCCCCGAGGCGUGAGCACCUACCUGAGCCCGCCCAGCGCUCUUGACCUGUAUGUCCACGAGUCGCCCAAGAUCACCUGCCUGGGGGUGGACCUGGACAACAUGGAGGGCGUGACCCUGAGCUGGGCCCGGGAGAGCGGGGAGCCCGUGCACCCAGACCCAAUAGUCAAUAAGACUCAGUACAACAGGAUGAUCACCGUCACGUCCACCCUGCCAGUGGACGCCACUGAAUGGGUCGAGGGGGAGACCUACCAGUGCAAGGUGACCCACCCGGACCUGCCCAAGGACAUCGUGCGCUCCAUUGCCAAAGCCCCCGGCCGGCGUGUCCCCUCGGAGGUGUACGUGUUCCUGCCGCCCGAGGGGGAGCCGAAGUCCAAAGACAAAGUCAACCUUAUGUGCCUGAUCCAGAACUUCUUCCCCCCGGACAUCUCGGUGCAAUGGCUUCGAAAUGACAGCAGGCCGCCACCUGACCCUCACAAGGCCACCGGCCCCAGCCCUGCCUUCUUUGUCUUCAGCCGCCUCGAGGUUAGCCGGGCAGACUGGGAGCAGAGGAAUGUGUUUGCCUGCAAAGUGGUGCACGAGGCGCUGCCCGGCUCUAGGAUGAUCAAGAAAUCCUGGGCAGCAGAGCUGCUGGGGGUGGGGGACCUGUGCGCAGACACCGCCGAGAGCGACGAGCUGGACGAGCUGUGGACCAGCCUGCUGGUCUUCGUCACCCUGUUCCUGCUCAGCGUGAGCUACAGGGCCGCCGCCACCCUCCUCAAGGUGAAGUCCGUAUUCGCCACUGUCCUGCAGAAGCCACAGGCCUUCCAGGACUACACAAACAUCAUGCGGCCAGCAGAGGAGCCAGAGCAGGGAGGCGAGGACACGCUUCCUCCUCCCCUCCCCCCUCCCCCCUCCCCGCCCUGUGUCUGA
Non-coding RNA from Suricata suricatta (meerkat), 1907 nucleotides. Lineage: Eukaryota; Metazoa; Chordata; Mammalia; Carnivora; Herpestidae. The record is from the annotation of a RefSeq genome assembly.